Molecule: microRNA precursor, 193 nt
Organism: Oryza sativa Japonica Group (Japanese rice)
Lineage: Eukaryota; Viridiplantae; Streptophyta; Magnoliopsida; Poales; Poaceae
Rfam family: MIR812 microRNA precursor family
Source: Rfam
AAUAAGUGCAAUUUUGUACUAUUCAUCUUCAACGUUUGACCGUUCAUCUUAUGUGAAAAUUUUUAUGAUUACUAUUUUUAUUAUUAUUAAAUGAUAAAAUAUGAAUAGUAUUUUAUGUGUGACUAUUCUUUAAAAAAGUUUUUAUAAAUAUUUUAAAUAAGACGGACGGUCAAAUGUUGGACAAAGAUUUACA